GCUUUCCCUCCAGAGUGGAUCCUGAGUACGGCGGAACACGUGAAAUUCCGUCGGAAUCCGGGAGGACCAUCUCCCAAGGCUAAAUACUCCCUAGUGACCGAUAGUGAACCAGUACCGUGAGGGAAAGGUGAAAAGCACCCCGGAAGGGGAGUGAAACAGUUCCUGAAACCGUGUGCCUACAAGUAGUUAGAGCCCGUUAAUGGGUGAUAGCGUGCCUUUUGUAGAAUGAACCGGCGAGUUACGAUUUGUUGCAAGGUUAAGCGGAAAAAGCGGAGCCGUAGCGAAAGCGAGUCUGAAUAGGGCGCAUAAGUAACAGGUCGUAGACCCGAAACCAGGUGAUCUACCCAUGUCCAGGAUGAAGGUAAGGUAAUACUUACUGGAGGUCCGAACCCACGCACGUUGAAAAGUGCGGGGAUGAGGUGUGGGUAGCGGAGAAAUUCCAAUCGAACUUGGAGAUAGCUGGUUCUCUCCGAAAUAGCUUUAGGGCUAGCCUCGAGGUAAAGAGUCAUGGAGGUAGAGCACUGUUUGGACUAGGGGCCCUUCUCGGGUUACCGAAUUCAGAUAAACUCCGAAUGCCAUGUACUUAUACUCGGGAGUCAGACUGCGAGUGAUAAGAUCCGUAGUCGAAAGGGAAACAGCCCAGACCACCAGUUAAGGUCCCCAAAUAUAUGUUAAGUGGAAAAGGAUGUGGGGUUGCUUAGACAACCAGGAUGUUGGCUUAGAAGCAGCCACCAUUGAAAGAGUGCGUAAUAGCUCACUGGUCGAGUGACCCCGCGCCGAAAAUGUACCGGGGCUAAACAUAUUACCGAAACUGUGGAUGAACCUCUUUAGAGGUUCGUGGUAGGAGAGCGUUCUAAGGGCGGUGAAGUCAGACCGGAAGGACUGGUGGAGCGCUUAGAAGUGAGAAUGCCGGUAUGAGUAGCGAAAGAAGGGUGAGAAUCCCUUCCACCGAAUAUCUAAGGUUUCCUGAGGAAGGCUCGUCCGCUCAGGGUUAGUCGGGACCUAAGCCGAGGCCGAUAGGCGUAGGCGAUGGACAACAGGUAGAGAUUCCUGUACCAGUGCUAAUUGUUUAACCGAUGGGGUGACACAGAAGGAUAGGGAAUCGCACGAAUGGAAAUGUGCGUCCAAGCAGUGAGUGUGAGAAGUAGGCAAAUCCGCUUCUCGCGAAGCAUGAGCUGUGAUGGGGAAGGAAAUUAAGUACGGAAGUUCCUGAUUUCACGCUGUCAAGAAAAGCCUCUAGGAAGAGUAGUACUGCCCGUACCGCAAACCGACACAGGUAGAUGAGGAGAGAAUCCUAAGGUGAGCGAGAGAACUCUCGUUAAGGAACUCGGCAAAAUGACCCCGUAACUUCGGGAGAAGGGGUGCUCUAUUAGGGUGCAAGCCCGAGAGAGCCGCAGUGAAUAGGCCCAGGCGACUGUUUAGCAAAAACACAGGUCUCUGCAAAACCGUAAGGUGACGUAUAGGGGCUGACGCCUGCCCGGUGCUGGAAGGUUAAGAGGAGUGCUUAGCUUCGGCGAAGGUACGAAUUGAAGCCCCAGUAAACGGCGGCCGUAACUAUAACGGUCCUAAGGUAGCGAAAUUCCUUGUCGGGUAAGUUCCGACCCGCACGAAAGGCGCAACGAUCUGGGCACUGUCUCAACGAGAGACUCGGUGAAAUUAUAGUACCUGUGAAGAUGCAGGUUACCCGCGACAGGACGGAAAGACCCCGUGGAGCUUUACUGCAACCUGAUAUGGAAUGUUUGUACCGCUUGUACAGGAUAGGUAGGAGCCGAAGAGACGUGUGCGCUAGCAUACGAGGAGGCAAUGGUGGGAUACUACCCUGGCUGUAUGACCAUUCUAACCCGCCACGCUUAGCGCGUGGGGAGACAGUGUCAGGUGGGCAGUUUGACUGGGGCGGUCGCCUCCUAAAGAGUAACGGAGGCGCCCAAAGGUUCCCUCAGAAUGGAUGGAAAUCAUUCGCAGAGUGUAAAGGCACAAGGGAGCUUGACUGCGAGACUGACAAGUCGAGCAGGGACGAAAGUCGGGCUUAGUGAUCCGGUGGUUCCGCAUGGAAGGGCCAUCGCUCAACGGAUAAAAGCUACCCCGGGGAUAACAGGCUUAUCUCCCCCAAGAGUCCACAUCGACGGGGAGGUUUGGCACCUCGAUGUCGGCUCGUCGCAUCCUGGGGCUGUAGUCGGUCCCAAGGGUUGGGCUGUUCGCCCAUUAAAGCGGCACGCGAGCUGGGUUCAGAACGUCGUGAGACAGUUCGGUCCCUAUCCGUCGCGGGCGCAGGAAAUUUGAGAGGAGCUGUCCUUAGUACGAGAGGACCGGGAUGGACACACCGCUGGUGUACCAGUUGUUCCGCCAGGAGCAUCGCUGGGUAGCUAUGUGUGGCAGGGAUAAACGCUGAAAGCAUCUAAGCGUGAAGCCCCCCUCAAGAUGAGAUUUCCCAUUUCUUCGGAAAGUAAGAUCCCUGAAAGAUGAUCAGGUAGAUAGGUUUGGAGUGGAAGUGUAGCGAUACAUGGAGCGGACAAAUACUAAUCGAUCGAGGACUUAACCAA
Molecule: ribosomal RNA, 2540 nt
Filed under: Listeria monocytogenes
Lineage: Bacteria; Bacillati; Bacillota; Bacilli; Caryophanales; Listeriaceae
Description: partial 23S ribosomal RNA
Rfam family: Bacterial large subunit ribosomal RNA
Source: RNAcentral